Molecule: ribosomal RNA, 253 nt
Filed under: uncultured bacterium
Lineage: Bacteria
Description: partial 16S ribosomal RNA
Rfam family: Bacterial small subunit ribosomal RNA
Source: RNAcentral
UACGUAGGGAGCAAGCGUUGCCCGGAAUUACUGGGCGUAAAGAGCUCGUAGGCGGGGGCGUGCGUCCGAGAAGAAAUCUUACGGCUCAACCGUAGGGCUAUCUCGGAUACGGCGCUUCUUGAGGGUGAGAGAGGAAAGCGGAAUUCCAGGUGUAGCGGUGAAAUGCGUAGAUAUCUGGAGGAACACCAGCGGCGAAGGCGGCUUUCUGGCUCAUUCCUGACGCUGAGGAGCGAAAGCGUGGGUAGCGAACGGG